AAGUAAAGAAGUAUUAUACAAUUUAAUUUCGACUUAAAUUUAAGGUUUUUAACCUCUUACUUG
This 63-nucleotide transfer RNA is filed under the name Augilodes binghami. RNAcentral's name for it is "tRNA-Arg". Lineage: Eukaryota; Metazoa; Arthropoda; Insecta; Hemiptera; Caliscelidae. The record is from RNAcentral.